This 371-nucleotide ribosomal RNA is filed under the name Gammaproteobacteria bacterium. RNAcentral's name for it is "bacterial SSU rRNA". It matches the Rfam family "Bacterial small subunit ribosomal RNA", at positions 1 to 355 of the family's 1533-position model. Lineage: Bacteria; Pseudomonadati; Pseudomonadota; Gammaproteobacteria. The record is from RNAcentral.
GAACUGAAGAGUUUGAUCCUGGCUCAGAUUGAACGCUGGCGGUAUGCUUAACACAUGCAAGUCGAACGGUAACAGGCCGCUGGGAUCCCUUCGGGGUGACCUUGGCGCUGACGAGUGGCGGACGGGUGAGUAAUACUUAGGAAUCUGCCCAGUAGCGGGGGACAACUCGAGGAAACUCGAGCUAAUACCGCAUACGCCCUACGGGGGAAAGCGGGGGAUCUUCGGACCUCGCACUAUUGGAUGAGCCUAAGUCGGAUUAGCUUGUUGGUGAGGUAAUGGCUCACCAAGGCAACGAUCCGUAGCUGGUCUGAGAGGACGACCAGCCACACUGGGACUGAGACACGGCCCAGACUCCUACGGGAGGCAGCAGU